GACGGAAGGUGCAAGCGUUGCUCGGAAUCAUUGGGCGUAAAGGGUGCGUAGGCGGCUUGGUGGGUCUGGUGUGAAAGCCCCGGGCUUAGCCCGGGAAGGCGCUAGAAACUGCCGAGCUCGAGUGCCGGAGGGGAGAGUGGAAUUCCUGGUGUAGCGGUGAAAUGCGUAGAUAUUGGGAGGAACACCAGUGGCGAAGGCGGCUCACUGGACCGGUACUGACGCUGAUGCGCGAAAGCGUGGGAGCAAACGGG
Molecule: ribosomal RNA, 251 nt
Filed under: uncultured bacterium
Lineage: Bacteria
Description: partial 16S ribosomal RNA
Rfam family: Bacterial small subunit ribosomal RNA
Source: RNAcentral